Molecule: ribosomal RNA, 500 nt
Filed under: uncultured bacterium
Lineage: Bacteria
Description: bacterial SSU rRNA
Rfam family: Bacterial small subunit ribosomal RNA
Source: RNAcentral
AGGUGAAAGCUGAGCGACCCUUCGGGGAGUCUGCACAGGUGCUGCAUGGCUGUCGUCAGCUCGUGCCGUGAGGUGUUAGGUUAAGUCCUGUAACGAGCGCAACCCUCGUCGUUAGUUACAAGUGUCUAACGAGACCGCCGGUGAUAAGCCGGAGGAAGGUGGGGAUGACGUCAAGUCAGCAUGGCCUUUAUAUCCUGGGCUACACACACGCUACAAUGGCCGGUACAAUGGGCUGCGAAACCGCGAGGUGGAGCCAAUCCCGCAAAGCCGGUCUCAGUUCGGAUGACAGGCUGCAACUCGCCUGUCUGAAGUCGGAGUUGCUAGUAGCCGCGCGUCAGCAUAGUGCGGUGAAUACGUUCCCGGGCCUUGUACACACCGCCCGUCACGUCAUGGAAGUUGGCAACGCCUGAAGCCGGUGGACUAACUCGCAAGAGAGGUAGCCGUUCAAGGUGGGGUCGGUAACUGGGACGAAGUCGUAACAAGGUAGCUGUAGCGGAAGC